GGGGAUUUAGCUCAGAGGUAGAGCACUUGCCUAGCAAGCGCAAGGCCCUGGGUUCGAUCCCCAGCUCCA
RNAcentral lists this transfer RNA (69 nucleotides) under Rattus norvegicus (Norway rat). It matches the Rfam family "tRNA". Rfam says of the family: Transfer RNA (tRNA) molecules are approximately 80 nucleotides in length. Their secondary structure includes four short double-helical elements and three loops (D, anti-codon, and T loops). The record is from Rfam by way of RNAcentral. Lineage: Eukaryota; Metazoa; Chordata; Mammalia; Rodentia; Muridae.